UGUCCCAUGGUGUAAUGGCAGCACUGUAGAUUCUGGCUCUGCCGGUCUAGGUUCGAGUCCUGGUGGGACAA
RNAcentral lists this transfer RNA (71 nucleotides) under Prevotellaceae bacterium. Its description in RNAcentral is "tRNA-Gln". It matches the Rfam family "tRNA". From Rfam's summary of the family: Transfer RNA (tRNA) molecules are approximately 80 nucleotides in length. The record is from RNAcentral. Lineage: Bacteria; Pseudomonadati; Bacteroidota; Bacteroidia; Bacteroidales; Prevotellaceae.